This 775-nucleotide long non-coding RNA is filed under the name Selaginella moellendorffii. RNAcentral describes it as "long non-coding RNA (SMOE_LNC001521)". The record is from RNAcentral. Lineage: Eukaryota; Viridiplantae; Streptophyta; Lycopodiopsida; Selaginellales; Selaginellaceae.
UUUUGUUUUUCUUGUUUUUUUAAAUUCAAGUGAUCGUUCAUUUGGCAAAUUGAAGCUAUGGACAAACUCAAGAAGAACGGCACAAGUAUUUUCUAGCGUCAUUGUUUCUUCCUUGUUUCUAGGAUCAAAGCCGAGUGUACUUCCGAGAUGCAAUUAAAACUUUACUUUUUAGUCGAUUUUCUGAAUCUCACAAUCGUUUUUAUAUGAAUAGAAAGUAAAGACCUUGAUUCUCAGCUAUUCAAGUUCUUCUGCUGCUCAGAAACUUAUGCUUGUUUUACGAAAUUUUUAUAGCCGUUAAGCUGCUCGUCGAUCUUUUCUCCAAGUUUUAGAUUUUUAGACUUAAAAAAUCGCUGCUUUUUUACUUUUCAAGCUGCUGCGCCUCUGCUUAAAAAAAGCCACUGCUCUUUCUGCCACUCUGCUUUCUAAAUUUUCAAGCUGCUGCCCCUGCUUGCUUUAAGAAAGUGUUUUAGUCUUUGCUUCUGCUUCCUGUGUCCCCCAAGUUUUAGAUUUUCGAACCUACUAUCGAACUUGCUCAAUCUAAUGACAAUUGUUCCGAUUACAGUUUCGCUGCUUCAAGUCAAACAUCUCGGAGACUAUGCUGAGGAGCUGCUUAUUCUGGCCCACUAGUAAGUAAAAAACUUCUUUUCCACUCUAUUAGAAAAUAGUCUGUUCACCAUCUUAGGAGUGGCCGUCCUUGUAUGUUAAAAACUUUGGAGAUCCAGAAGACUAUCACAAAAGGCAUAUCAGGCUGGAGCAAUUAGUAUUUAGUCUCGCA